Molecule: ribosomal RNA, 553 nt
Filed under: uncultured bacterium
Lineage: Bacteria
Description: bacterial SSU rRNA
Rfam family: Bacterial small subunit ribosomal RNA
Source: RNAcentral
UCCGUGUGUCGUCGUCGCGACGCACGAGAGGUUCGAGUCUGGCGUCAGGACGAACGCUGGCGGCGUGCCUAACACAUGCAAGUCGAGCGGGGACAUGCGACGGAACCGGAAGUUUCGGAUGGAAGGCGAAGAUGUAUGUUCUAGCGGCGGACGGGUGAGUAACGCGUGAGCAACCUGUCCUUCACAGGGGGAUAACACAGCGAAAGUUGUACUAAUACCGCAUAAGACCACACCGGGACAUCCCGGAGGGGUCAAAGGAGCAAUCCGGUGAAGGGUGGGCUCGCGUCCGAUUAGAUAGUUGGUGAGGUAACGGCCCACCAAGUCGACGAUCGGUAGCCGACCUGAGAGGGUGAUCGGCCACAUUGGGACUGAGACACGGCCCAAACUCCUACGGGAGGCAGCAGUGGGGAAUAUUGGGCAAUGGGGGGAAACCCUGACCCAGCAACGCCGCGUGAGGGAAGAAGGUUUUCGGAUCGUAAACCUCUGUCCUUGGUGAAGAGAGAGAGACGGUAGCCAAGGAGGAAGCCCCGGCUAACUACGUGCCAGCCGCCGC